CUCACUGGUCUAGGGGUUGAGUGUUCGCACACGAAGCCGAAGGUUUCGGGUUCGAAUCCCGUGUGUGGGAU
This 71-nucleotide transfer RNA is filed under the name Schistosoma mansoni. The record is from RNAcentral. Lineage: Eukaryota; Metazoa; Platyhelminthes; Trematoda; Strigeidida; Schistosomatidae.